CCUACGGGAGGCAGCAGUGGGGAAUAUUGCACAAUGGGGGAAACCCUGAUGCAGCGACGCCGCGUGAGGGAAGGAGCGUUUCGGUAUGUAAACUUCUAUCAGCAGGGAAGAAAAUGACGGUACCUGACCAAGAAGCCCCGGCUAACUACGUGCCAGCAGCCGCGGUAAUACGUAGGGGGCAAGCGUUAUCCGGAUUUACUGGGUGUAAAGGGAGCGUAGGCGGGUUAGCAAGGCAGAAGUGAAAGCCCGGGGCUCAACUCCGGGACUGCUUUUGAAACUGCUUGGCUAGAUUGCAGGAGAGGUAGGUGGAAUUCCUAGUGUAGCGGUGAAAUGCGUAGAUAUUAGGAGGAACACCGGUGGCGAAGGCGGCUUACUGGACUGUAAAUGACGUUGAGGCUCGAAGGCGUGGGGAGCAAACAGGAUUAGAUACCCUUGUAGUC
This 440-nucleotide ribosomal RNA is filed under the name uncultured bacterium. RNAcentral's name for it is "partial 16S ribosomal RNA". It matches the Rfam family "Bacterial small subunit ribosomal RNA", at positions 338 to 795 of the family's 1533-position model. The record is from RNAcentral.